GACGAACGCUGGCGGCGUGCCUAAUACAUGCAAGUAGAACGCUUAAGAGAGGAGCUUGCUCUUCUUGGAUGAGUUGCGAACGGGUGAGUAACGCGUAGGUAACCUGCCUUGUAGCGGGGGAUAACUAUUGGAAACGAUAGCUAAUACCGCAUAACAAUGGAUGACACAUGUCAUUUAUUUGAAAGGGGCAAUUGUUCCACUACAAGAUGGACCUGCGUUGUAUUAGCUAGUAGGUGAGGUAAUGGCUCACCUAGGCGACGAUACAGAGCCGACCUGGGAGGGUGGUCGGCCCCACUGGGACUGGGACAAGGCCCAGACUCCUGAGGGAGGCAGCAGUAGGGAAUCUUCGGAAAUGGGGGCAACCCUGACCGAGCAACGCCGCGGGAGUGGAGAAGGGUUUCGGAUCGUAAAGCUCUGUUGUAAGUGAAGAACGGGUGUGAGAGUGGAAAGUUCACACUGUGACGGUAGCUUAACAGAAAGGGACGGCUAACUACGUG
Molecule: ribosomal RNA, 497 nt
Filed under: uncultured bacterium
Lineage: Bacteria
Description: partial 16S ribosomal RNA
Rfam family: Bacterial small subunit ribosomal RNA
Source: RNAcentral